This 492-nucleotide ribosomal RNA is filed under the name uncultured bacterium. RNAcentral's name for it is "partial 16S ribosomal RNA". It matches the Rfam family "Bacterial small subunit ribosomal RNA", at positions 29 to 507 of the family's 1533-position model. The record is from RNAcentral.
AGUGAACGCUGGCGGUAGGCCUAACACAUGCAAGUCGAACGGCAGCACAGUAAGAGCUUGCUCUUACGGGUGGCGAGUGGCGGACGGGUGAGGAAUACAUCGGAAUCUACUUUUUCGUGGGGGAUAACGUAGGGAAACUUACGCUAAUACCGCAUACGACCUACGGGUGAAAGCAGGGGAUCUUCGGACCUUGCGCGAUUGAAUGAGCCGAUGUCGGAUUAGCUAGUUGGCGGGGUAAAGGCCCACCAAGGCGACGAUCCGUAGCUGGUCUGAGAGGAUGAUCGGCCACACUGGAACUGAGACACGGUCCAGCCUCCUACGGGAGGCAGCAGUGGGGAAUAUUGGAAAAUGGGCGAAAGCCUGACCGAGCAACCCCGCGUGAGUGAAGAAGGCCUUCGGGUUGUAAAGCUCUUUUGUUGGGAAAGAAAAGAUGUGUAAGUAACCCCGCCUUUCUUGACGGUACCUAAAGAGAAAGCCCCGGCUAACUUCGUG